This 119-nucleotide ribosomal RNA is filed under the name Pteropus alecto (black flying fox). The record is from RNAcentral. Lineage: Eukaryota; Metazoa; Chordata; Mammalia; Chiroptera; Pteropodidae.
GUCUAUGGCCAUGACACCCUGAACAAGCCUAAUCCCAUCUGAUCUCAGAAACUAAGCAGGGUCGAGCCUGGUUAGUACUUGGAUGGGAGACCACUUAGGAAGACCAGGUGCUGUAGGUG